GCCAGACUCCUACGGGAGGCAGCAGUGAGGAAUAUUGGUCAAUGGGCGGGAGCCUGAACCAGCCAAGUCGCGUGAGGGAAGACGGUCCUACGGAUUGUAAACCUCUUUUGUCAGGGAGCAAAGGGCGCCACGUGUGGCGCUUUGCGAGUACCUGAAGAAAAAGCAUCGGCUAACUCCGUGCCAGCAGCCGCGGUAAUACGGAGGAUGCGAGCGUUAUCCGGAUUUAUUGGGUUUAAAGGGUGCGUAGGCGGUUUGAUAAGUUAGAGGUGAAAUGUCGGGGCUCAACCCCGAAACUGCCUCUAAUACUGUUGGACUAGAGAAUAGUUGCGGUAGGCGGAAUGUAUGGUGUAGCGGUGAAAUGCUUAGAGAUCAUACAGAGCACCGAUUGCGAAGGCAGCUUACCAAACUAUAUCUGACGUUGAGGCACGAAAGCGUGGGUAGCAAACAGGAUUAGAUACCCUUGUAA
RNAcentral lists this ribosomal RNA (466 nucleotides) under uncultured bacterium. RNAcentral's name for it is "bacterial SSU rRNA". It matches the Rfam family "Bacterial small subunit ribosomal RNA", at positions 330 to 793 of the family's 1533-position model. The record is from RNAcentral.